CCAACUGCAAAAAAGAAUUAAGCAGCUUAACAACGAAUUACGCACGCUAGGUUAACCAUUACGGUUUUAUAAGUGCC
Molecule: transfer RNA, 77 nt
Filed under: Shewanella putrefaciens
Lineage: Bacteria; Pseudomonadati; Pseudomonadota; Gammaproteobacteria; Alteromonadales; Shewanellaceae
Description: tRNA-Pro
Source: RNAcentral